Molecule: ribosomal RNA, 3027 nt
Filed under: Triticum aestivum (bread wheat)
Lineage: Eukaryota; Viridiplantae; Streptophyta; Magnoliopsida; Poales; Poaceae
Description: partial small subunit ribosomal RNA
Source: RNAcentral
AUGGGUAGCUUCCUGCCAUGGCGAUCAUGGUCUUUGAUAGUACUAUUUCUCUUGUUACAGUCCAUGCUUCAAUUGUCCUCUGGCUGCUUCGUGGAGGAGAGAGCUGCUCUACUAGACAUCCAGUCCUCGCUGAUAAGAGCGCAUUCCCAGAUUUCGCUUGAUUCGUGGAGGAAGGAUGAUGAUGACUGCUGCUCAUGGGAUCUUGUGAAAUGCAACAAUAGCACCCAACGGGUGUCCCAUCUUGACCUUAGCUUGGUAUAUUUCCCAGCAGAUGUAGAUGAUCGUUGGUAUUUGAACUUGACAGCGUUUUCUGCAUUCCAUGAGCUUCGGUACCUAGAUCUAUCAUACAACUAUCAAUGUUCUCUAAGCUCGGAAGCAGGGUUAGUCGGACUAUCAAAGCUUCGAUAUCUCGACCUCAGUGGCACUCUGUUGGGAGUGGGUUUCCCGGAAUUUAUUGCGAAAAUUUUCUCACUGGAAGUCUUAGCUCUCAACGAUAACAACCUGAACGGAAGUCUCCAAGCUGCAGCUGUUGAAAAUCUUAGGAAUUUGCGACAAUUGAAUAUGUCUGGGAAUAGAUUCAACGGAGACCUCCCAGCCUCACUAUUUGCACUUCCUCAGCUAAAGAUCCUAGAUCUCUCCAGAAAUAACUUCUGUUGGCAUAUUCCAGUUAGUUCAUCCCCAGGGCCAAUUUCACCUGAAGUCCUAGAUCUCAGUUUUAAUCGCCUCAAUGGAACUCUCCCGGUUAGAGCUUUUAAAAACAUCAGGAGCUUGAAUUUGGGUGGCAACCAGUUUAGCGGAUCUCUUCCUGUGUCAUUAUUUGCACUUCCUCAUCUCAAGUUCCUAGAUCUCUCAGAUAAUAAUUUUAAGGGACGUUUUCCUGUUAAUCUGUCUUUGGUGCCGGUCCCCCUUGAGGUCUUACAUCUGGAAUAUAAUAAGUUGAGUGGACCUCUUCCGACUGAACAAGAAUUUGUAAAUCUUCAGAACCUACGAGAGUUGUAUUUGAGUUCCAACCGAUUCAGCGGAAGCAUUCCAACAUUCUUGCUUUCGCUUCCACAUAUUGAACGGCUGAACCUCUCGAAAAAUUUCCUGGGAGGACAGAUUCUGAGAAAUCGGUCUUUGAAUCUUUCACCUUCGCUUAGGAGUCUUCGGUUUUCCCAAAACAAUUUGAGUGGUAGAUUUUCCUUCACUUGGCUUGGAAAUCUCACAAAACUAGAAGAGAUAGACCUUUCAGGCAAUUCGAACCUAGUUGUUGACGUUAGUAUUUCCAGAUGGACAUCCCCAUUACAAUUGAAACAACUACUGCUCUCUGGUUGUGACAUUGACAAGAACAUUAUUGCAGAACCACAUUUUUUACGCACACAACAUCAUUUAGAGGUGCUUGAUUUGUCCAACAACAACUUGUCAGGCAGCAUGCCAAAUUGGUUGUUUACAAAGGAAGCAAGACUACAGGAUCUAAAUCUUGGGAAUAACUCGCUAACUGGAUCUCUGGACCCAAUAUGGCAUACCCAAUCUUCACUCAGUGUUAUCAACAUACACAUGAACCAUAUCACAGGACAGCUGCCGGCCAACCUUAGCUCAAUGUUUCCAGGCUUGUUUGUUCUAGAUUUUUCUAGUAACGACUUAUUUGGGCACAUACCAACGUCAUUGUGCGAGAUCAGCGGCAUGCAUGUUUUAGACCUAUCAAACAACAACCUUUCUGGGGAAGUUCCAGCUUGUGUUUUUACUAAUUAUCCCAUGCUAAUGACCUUGAAGGUCUCAAACAACAAGCUUGGUGGUCUGCUUUUUAGUGGAAUGAGUAAUUUGUCCAGUAUACGUGAAUUGUGUUUGGAUGGUAACAAAUUUAAAGGGACAUUGCCUCGUGAUCUGGCAGGAGAGAAUCUAAGGGUCAUUGAUUUGCAUGAUAACGAGUUGUCUGGCAAACUCGAUACAUCAUUUUGGAAUAUGUCUUGUUUGAAAGUCCUGAAUCUUGCUGGCAACCAUAUAACCGGCAAAAUUGAUCAACACAUUUGCGGCUUCACGGAAAUAUGCCUUUUAGAUCUGUCGCGCAACUACCUUACAGGGUCUGUACCAAAUAGUUGCUUCAUAGUGCUAAAUUUUCUUAACCUUACUGGGAACUCCUUAUCUAGCGAUAUCUCUUUUGCUCUUUUCAACACAUCAAGUCUAAUUGCUUUGGACAUCAGGCACAAUCAUUUCAUGGGCAACCUCAAUUGGGUAGGUUACCUUGAAAACAUUAGGCUACUUUCGCUGGGCGGAAAUAAGUAUGAAGGGCAGAUCACUCCAAACCUGUGCAGACUCAUGUACAUGAGGAUAAUUGAUUUGUCCCAUAACAAGCUUUCAGGUUCUCUGCCAGCAUGUAUCGGUAACAUAUCUUUCAAAGGUGACACAGAUGACCAAAUUCUUCAUUCAAUUGAUGGGAUUGCUAGUCCAUCCUAUCACACAUUCUAUGUCUUAAAAGACUUCACCUUUGCUACCAAAGGGAAUCUCUAUACAUACGGUCGUAGUUUCUUCAUUUCAAUGGCUGGCAUUGACCUGUCUGCAAACAUGUUGGAUGGAGAAAUUCCUUGGGAGCUAGGAAACCUGAGGCAUAUCAAAUCCCUUAAUUUGUCCAGCAAUUUCUUUGUUGGUCCGAUCCCAACAACCUUGGGCGGCAUGGGGGAGAUAGAAAGCUUGGACCUCUCCCACAAUGAGCUGAGUGGACCAAUACCUUGGCAGUUAACCCAGCUAUCUUCUUUGGGGGUGUUCUCUGUGGCAUACAACAACUUGUCAGGAUGCAUACCAAACUCUGGUCAGCUCAGCUCAUUCAACAUGGACAGCUACCUAGCCAACAUCAACCUUCACAAUAUUACUCAUGGGAAUACUUGUGCUGCUCCCAGUCCAGAUCCUGCUGCGGGGAAAGAUGUAGAAGAGAUGCGCAGUGACCCAGUUCUAUACGUGGUCACAGCUGUCGGCUUUGUUUUUGCAUUUUGGGCUACUAUUGGGUUCUCAUUUUGCCAUCCUUAUGGAAGAUCUGUAAUGCUUAAGCUGUAG